UCUCGGCUUAUCACCGGCAGUCCCCCUAGAGUGCCCAACUGAAUGAUGGCAACUAAGGGCGAGGGUUGCGCUCGUUGCGGGACUUAACCCAACAUCUCACGACACGAGCUGACGACAGCCAUGCAGCACCUGUGUCCACGCCCCUUGCGGGGAGGAACCCGUCUCCGGGAACCGUCGUGGCAUGUCAAGGGCUGGUAAGGUGGGGAUGACGUGUCUAGGAGGGUG
RNAcentral lists this unclassified non-coding RNA (225 nucleotides) under uncultured Alphaproteobacteria bacterium. RNAcentral's name for it is "contains 16S-23S intergenic spacer region". Lineage: Bacteria; Pseudomonadati; Pseudomonadota; Alphaproteobacteria. The record is from RNAcentral.